Molecule: non-coding RNA, 28 nt
Filed under: Mus musculus (house mouse)
Lineage: Eukaryota; Metazoa; Chordata; Mammalia; Rodentia; Muridae
Source: RNAcentral
UGGAAUCUGAGGUGUUGUAUACGUAAUG